CCUGGACACAUGCUGAUCCCAGAGCCAAAGGGCAUUAGGAAAUACUUCAGUUUUCUUCCUGCCUUGUAGAAUGUAGUUUUCUUCUUGCCAUUCUCUAUGUAACGAUCAAACUUGUACUUCUUAGGAUCUUCAUAGACCUCGGGGUCCAUGUGCAAAAUCUGAGGGUAAAGGGCUAUCCAGUCUCCUUUCCUCAAACUGACU
This 201-nucleotide long non-coding RNA is filed under the name Gallus gallus (chicken). The record is from RNAcentral. Lineage: Eukaryota; Metazoa; Chordata; Aves; Galliformes; Phasianidae.